CAGCACCUCAAGUGGUCAGGAUGAUUAUUGGGCCUAAAGCAUCCGUAGCCGGCGCUGUAAGUUUUCGGUUAAAUCUGUACGCUCAACGUACGGGCUGCCGGGAAUACUGCAGCGCUAGGGAGUGGGAGAGGUAGACGGUACUCGGUAGGAAGGGGUAAAAUCCUUUGAUCUAUUGAUGACCACCUGUGGCGAAGGCGGUCUACCAGAACACGUCCGACGGUGAGGGAUGAAAGCUGGGGGAGCAAACCGGAUUAGAUACCCGCGUAGUCC
This 270-nucleotide ribosomal RNA is filed under the name uncultured archaeon. Its description in RNAcentral is "partial 16S ribosomal RNA". It matches the Rfam family "Archaeal small subunit ribosomal RNA", at positions 477 to 747 of the family's 1478-position model. The record is from RNAcentral.